Molecule: ribosomal RNA, 492 nt
Filed under: uncultured bacterium
Lineage: Bacteria
Description: partial 16S ribosomal RNA
Rfam family: Bacterial small subunit ribosomal RNA
Source: RNAcentral
AGUGAACGCUGGCGGUAGGCCUAACACAUGCAAGUCGAACGGCAGCACAGUAAGAGCUUGCUCCUACGGGUGGCGAGUGGCGGACGGGUGAGGAAUACAUCGGAAUCUACUUUUUCGUGGGGGAUAACGUAGGGAAACUUACGCUAAUACCGCAUACGACCUACGGGUGAAAGCAGGGGAUCUUCGGACCUUGCGCGAUUGAAUGAGCCGAUGUCGGAUUAGCUAGUUGGCGGGGUAAAGGCCCACCAAGGCGACGAUCCGUAGCUGGUCUGAGAGGAUGAUCAGCCACACUGGAACUGAGACACGGUCCAGACUCCUACGGGAGGCAGCAGUGGGGAAUAUUGGACAAUGGGCGCAAGCCUGAUCCAGCCAUACCGCGUGGGUGAAGAAGGCCUUCGGGUUGUAAAGCCCUUUUGUUGGGAAAGAAAAGCAGCAGGUUAAUACCCCGCUGUUCUGACGGUACCCAAAGAAUAAGCACCGGCUAACUUCGUG